This 67-nucleotide transfer RNA is filed under the name Pharnaciini sp. NS-2020. RNAcentral describes it as "tRNA-Tyr". It matches the Rfam family "tRNA". From Rfam's summary of the family: Transfer RNA (tRNA) molecules are approximately 80 nucleotides in length. Lineage: Eukaryota; Metazoa; Arthropoda; Insecta; Phasmatodea; Phasmatidae. The record is from RNAcentral.
AGUAGGGUGGCUGAGUUUUAUAGGCAAUAAAUUGUAAAUUUAUUUACAGGUGUUAACCUUCUUACUA